AACGAACGCUGGCGGCAUGCCUAACACAUGCAAGUCGAACGAGACCUUCGGGUCUAGUGGCGCACGGGUGCGUAACGCGUGGGAACCUGCCCUUAGGUUCGGAAUAACUCCCCGAAAGGGGUGCUAAUACCGGAUAAUGUCUUCGGACCAAAGAUUUAUCGCCUUUGGAUGGGCCCGCGUUGGAUUAGCUAGUUGGUAGGGUAAAAGCCUACCAAGGCGACGAUCCAUAGCUGGUCUGAGAGGAUGAGCAGCCACACUGGGACUGAGACACGGCCCAGACUCCUACGGGAGGCAGCAGUGGGGAAUAUUGGACAAUGGGCGAAAGCCUGAUCCAGCAAUGCCGCGUGAGUGAUGAAGGCCUUAGGGUUGUAAAGCUCUUUUACCCGGGAUGAUAAUGACAGUACCGGGAGAAUAAGCACCGGCUAACUCCGUG
This 433-nucleotide ribosomal RNA is filed under the name uncultured bacterium. Its description in RNAcentral is "partial 16S ribosomal RNA". It matches the Rfam family "Bacterial small subunit ribosomal RNA", at positions 29 to 507 of the family's 1533-position model. The record is from RNAcentral.